UAAAAAAAGGUAAGCUACUAAGAGCGAAUGGUGGAUGCCUUGACUGGUAAAGGCGAUGAAGGACGUACUAGACUGCGAUAAGCUACGGGGAGCUGUCAAGAAGCUUUGAUCCGUAGAUUUCCGAAUGGGGCAACCCAAUGUAUAGAGAUAUACAUUACCUAUAUAGGAGCGAACGAGGGGAAUUGAAACAUCUUAGUACCCUCAGGAAAAGAAAUCAAUAGAGAUUGCGUCAGUAGCGGCGAGCGAAAGCGCAAGAGGGCAAACCCAGUGCUUGCACUGGGGGUUGUAGGACUGCAAUGUGCAAGAGCUGAGUUUAGCAGAACAUUCUGGAAAGUAUAGCCAUAGAGGGUGAUAGUCCCGUAUGCGAAAAACAAAGCUUAGCUAGCAGUAUCCUGAGUAGGGCGGGACACGAGGAAUCCUGUCUGAAUCCGGGUCGACCACGAUCCAACCCUAAAUACUAAUACCAGAUCGAUAGUGCACAAGUACCGUGAGGGAAAGGUGAAAAGAACUGAGGUGAUCAGAGUGAAAUAGAACCUGAAACCAUUUGCUUACAAUCAUUCAGAGCACUAUGUAGCAAUACAGUGUGAUGGACUGCCUUUUGCAUAAUGAGCCUGCGAGUUGUGGUGUCUGGCAAGGUUAAGCAAACGCGAAGCCGUAGCGAAAGCGAGUCUGAAUAGGGCGCUUAGUCAGAUGCUGCAGACCCGAAACGAAGUGAUCUAUCCAUGAGCAAGUUGAAGCUAGUGUAAGAACUAGUGGAGGACUGAACCCAUAGGCGUUGAAAAGCCCCGGGAUGACUUGUGGAUAGGGGUGAAAGGCCAAUCAAACUUCGUGAUAGCUGGUUCUCUCCGAAAUAUAUUUAGGUAUAGCGUUGUGUCGUAAUAUAAGGGGGUAGAGCACUGAAUGGGCUAGGGCAUACACCAAUGUACCAAACCCUAUCAAACUCCGAAUACCUUAUAUGUAAUCACAGCAGUCAGGCGGCGAGUGAUAAAAUCCGUCGUCAAGAGGGAAACAACCCAGACUACCAGCUAAGGUCCCUAAAUCUUACUUAAGUGGAAAACGAUGUGAAGUUACUUAAACAACCAGGAGGUUGGCUUAGAAGCAGCCAUCCUUUAAAGAAAGCGUAAUAGCUCACUGGUCUAGUGAUUUUGCGCGGAAAAUAUAACGGGGCUAAAGUAAGUACCGAAGCUGUAGACUUGCACACAACUUAGAUUAUUUAAGUUUAGAAUAUGAGAAACUAAGUUAUAUGUUUAGUUAUAUUUUUACUGAUUUUUAUAGAGUAAAGAUAGAAAUAAAACUUAGUAAAAUCAGUAAAAAUAUUCUUAGGCUAAAGUUAAGUAGUUUAAGUUGUGUGCAAGUGGUAGGAGAGCGUUCUAUUUGCGUCGAAGGUAUACCGGUAAGGAGUGCUGGAGCGAAUAGAAGUGAGCAUGCAGGCAUGAGUAGCGAUAAUUAAUGUGAGAAUCAUUAACGCCGUAAACCCAAGGUUUCCUACGCGAUGCUCGUCAUCGUAGGGUUAGUCGGGUCCUAAGUCGAGUCCGAAAGGGGUAGACGAUGGCAAAUUGGUUAAUAUUCCAAUACCAACAUUAGUGUGCGAUGGAAGGACGCUUAGGGCUAAGGGGGCUAGCGGAUGGAAGUGCUAGUCUAAGGUUGUAGGAGGUUAUACAGGCAAAUCCGUAUAACAAUACUCCGAGAACUGAAAGGCUUUUUGAAGUCUUCGGAUGGAUAGAAGAACCCCUGAUGCCGUCGAGCCAAGAAAAGUUUCUAAGUUUAGCUAAUGUUGCCCGUACCGUAAACCGACACAGGUGGGUGGGAUGAGUAUUCUAAGGCGCGUGGAAGAACUCUCUUUAAGGAACUCUGCAAAAUAGCACCGUAUCUUCGGUAUAAGGUGUGCCUCCCUUUGUAUUAGAAUUCACUUCGAAAGCAAAGAAGGUUACAACAAAGAGUCCCUCCCGACUGUUUACCAAAAACACAGCACUCUGCUAACUCGUAAGAGGAUGUAUAGGGUGUGACGCCUGCCCGGUGCUCGAAGGUUAAUUGAUGGGGUUAGCAUUAGCGAAGCUCUUGAUCGAAGCCCGAGUAAACGGCGGCCGUAACUAUAACGGUCCUAAGGUAGCGAAAUUCCUUGUCGGUUAAAUACCGACCUGCAUGAAUGGCGUAACGAGAUGGGAGCUGUCUCAAAGAGGGAUCCAGUGAAAUUGUAGUGGAGGUGAAAAUUCCUCCUACCCGCGGCAAGACGGAAAGACCCCGUGGACCUUUACUACAGCUUGACACUGCUACUUGGAUAAGAAUGUGCAGGAUAGGUGGGAGGCUUUGAGUAUAUGACGCCAGUUGUAUAUGAGCCAUUGUUGAGAUACCACUCUUUCUUAUUUGGGUAGCUAACCAGCUUGAGUUAUCCUCAAGUGGGACAAUGUCUGGUGGGUAGUUUGACUGGGGCGGUCGCCUCCCAAAUAAUAACGGAGGCUUACAAAGGUUGGCUCAGAACGGUUGGAAAUCGUUCGUAGAGUAUAAAGGUAUAAGCCAGCUUAACUGCAAGACAUACAAGUCAAGCAGAGACGAAAGUCGGUCUUAGUGAUCCGGUGGUUCUGUGUGGAAGGGCCAUCGCUCAAAGGAUAAAAGGUACCCCGGGGAUAACAGGCUGAUCUCCCCCAAGAGCUCACAUCGACGGGGAGGUUUGGCACCUCGAUGUCGGCUCAUCGCAUCCUGGGGCUGGAGCAGGUCCCAAGGGUAUGGCUGUUCGCCAUUUAAAGCGGUACGCGAGCUGGGUUCAGAACGUCGUGAGACAGUUCGGUCCCUAUCUGCCGUGGGCGUAAGAAGAUUGAAGAGAUUUGACCCUAGUACGAGAGGACCGGGUUGAACAAACCACUGGUGUAGCUGUUGUUCUGCCAAGAGCAUCGCAGCGUAGCUAAGUUUGGAAAGGAUAAACGCUGAAAGCAUCUAAGCGUGAAGCCAACUCUAAGAUGAAUCUUCUCUAAGCUCUCUAGAAGACUACUAGUUUGAUAGGCUGGGUGUGUAAUGGAUGAAAGUCCUUUAGCUGACCAGUACUAAUAGAGCGUUUGGCUUAUCUUUAAUAAAGCAU
This 3073-nucleotide ribosomal RNA is filed under the name Campylobacter jejuni. RNAcentral's name for it is "23S ribosomal RNA". It matches the Rfam family "Bacterial large subunit ribosomal RNA". Lineage: Bacteria; Pseudomonadati; Campylobacterota; Epsilonproteobacteria; Campylobacterales; Campylobacteraceae. The record is from RNAcentral.